CUGGGACAAAAGGGGGUUCAAGUGGCUCUCCUGUAAUUGGCUGGCAGGGCAGAGCAGUUGCUUUGAAUGCUGGGAGCAAGUCAUCAAGUGCCUUUGCAUUUUUCCUCCCUUUAGAGCGAGUUGUAAGGGCUUUAAAAUUUUUGCAAGAAGGAAGAGAUUCUGCAAACAAAUGGGAGGCAGUCACUAUUCCUCGUGGUAGGCUUCAGGUGACUUUGUCCAUAAAGGAUUUGACGAGACCCGCCGGCUUGGUCUUCGAAGUGAAACAGA
Long non-coding RNA from Ipomoea nil (Japanese morning glory), 267 nucleotides. RefSeq lists it as uncharacterized. Lineage: Eukaryota; Viridiplantae; Streptophyta; Magnoliopsida; Solanales; Convolvulaceae. The record is from RefSeq and is a predicted model, not a curated record. The transcript is spliced from 3 exons.